RNAcentral lists this long non-coding RNA (2318 nucleotides) under Carica papaya (papaya). Its description in RNAcentral is "long non-coding RNA (CPAP_LNC012183)". The record is from RNAcentral. Lineage: Eukaryota; Viridiplantae; Streptophyta; Magnoliopsida; Brassicales; Caricaceae.
AGUGUAUCCACAAAUCCAUAUUUAGGAAUUUAUUUCUCAUUUACCUUCAUCACGAUCCAUGCAUUCUUCAAUCUCUUGCAAAAGGAAAAAGAAAUUGUUUCGAUCCCCAGGAUUGAGGGGGCAACUAAUCUCAAAUAUUUUAGGCUAACCAGCUUUGUGGUGGUGUAUCUACAAGCUUACACAAGAGUGCUUGCUAAAAAGGUUCAGCAACAUUGUGGGUCUUGUGGUGGGUGAGGCACAAUAGGCUUUUGUUGGGGCUGCAGGAAGGAAGACAGAUUCUUAACGUCUCUUGGUCACUAAUGAAAUGGUCAUCUCUAUCUUUAGGAAUGGCGAGCAAGGUGUUCUAUGCAAACUUGAUAUUGAGAAAGCUUAUGACCAUCUUUCGUGGUCCUUCCUCUAUCUGCUUAAGUGGAUGGGAUUCGAUGACGUAUGGUGUUAGUAGACCAUAGUGUCUCUUUUCAUUAAUUUUCUGUCCUUAAUAAUGGUGGGCCAUCGGAUGUUUUCAAGCCUUCCAAGAGUCUAAGGCAGAGGGAGCUUGUUAUUUUUUAUCUUAGUCAUGGAAACUUUUGACUUUGUAAUUCUAAGAGCGAGAGAGACCGGCCUGUUUGAGGGGCUUUGUAUGAGGAUCGGUACUAACAAGACCCAAAUCAUCAUCCUUGAUUUAAAACGCACUCUCUUAUUAGGUUGUAGAAAUUUUUUUUCCCUAGAGUACCUUGGCCUCUCUCUUGGCAUCGAAGUAAAGGAGAAGGCCACUUGGGAUCCCCUUUUUCUAGAAAUGGAAGUGGUUGUGUGAGUAAAAAUGGAUCUAUCUCUCUGAGAGUGGAAGCCUCACUCUAAUUAAAGUGCAUUCUCCAAUCUUUUGGAUCUACUGUAUGUUCCUUUUCUCUAUUCACGUGAAAUUAGCAAAGAGUAUUGAAUCUAUUGCAGGUUUUUGUUGGGUGAUUCCAGAAGCAAAGAAAAUAUCGUUUGGUGGCUCAAAUGCUAAAAGUUGACUUCCAUAAAUUGAAUCACAGACUGCCAGUAACUUGACUCUGAGCUUUUGAAGGCUGGUGGUUUAGAUCCAAAAAAAAGUUGUUAGAUUAGUGGUACUUGGACACAAGGCGUUACACCUCUUCAUUCCUCGUCCACUAGGGAUAAUUGGCUUAGGAUCCUGCUUAUUUUGUUUAAGGGUCAUCCUGUUCUGGAUGAAGUGAGUUUUGCAGAUCUGUUUGAUCUCUUCACUCUUAGUAGAGCUCUUCUGUAUGUGUGUGGCACUCCUCUGGUGGCUUGUUAUAAUUACUUUUUGCUCUCUUAAAAGAAAAAAGAAAAUUUUGCCAAUUGUAUGCUAACUAUUAUGACAUUUUUUUCUGCCAUUCCUCACCUCCACCCCCCCUGACACUCCAACCCCACAACUUUUUGGACCCAAACUAUCAGCAGUCAAAAAUUUAAACUCAAGUUAUUAGUAGUGUGUAAGAUGAAUUCUUAUACAGUGCUCAAUAUCUCCACAUUGAAAAGGUAUAUGAUCAUUGACUUUCAAAUAAAAACUUAAAUCAUACACUACCAAUAACUUGAGUUUGAGCUUUUGACUACUGGCAGUUUGGGUCCAAGGAGUUGUUGGGUUACUGGUAAGCAUUGUACUUGUAUUGACUUAGGACCCUGCUUAUUUUGUUCAAGGAUCAUCUAAUUCUGGAUGAGAUGAAUGUUGCAAAUCUAUUUUAUCUCUUCACUCUGAGUAAGAGCUCUUUAUACUUGUGUGGUACUCCUGUGACGGCUUGUUAUAAUUAUCUUUUUCUCUCUUAAAGAAAAAAAAAAUUUGUAUGCUAACUAAUAUGACAUUUUUUCUGGCAUCCCUAAUUCUCUGAUUUCAGAAAGCCUGUUACUAGAACAAACUGUGAGUCAGUCUCCCUUUUAUUUUUUUUUACUGGUUACCUCAUUUAAGAUUUUUCCCUGUUCUUUCACCUCGUCAUUGCAAGCUAGAGAUGCUAUCAUUCUUGGUGACCUUUACUGUACAUUCUAGAUCUGUAGCAGUGUUCAGUUCAUCCCUUGGAGACCAUGGGAAGGUACUUUUAAGUUAUUAUCUAAUAUAUUUUUCCUAAUGUUUGGACACAAUAGAGAGACAUGAAAUUUUAUUUACAUCUAAAAGUUCCAAUUGCUACCAUAAAGUUUCUUCUAUCCAGCUGAAACUAUAGGGAAUUUUGAUUGUGUAUUCGAAUGGACUUGUUAAAUGAAGACAUGCAACAAUUCUGUCAGAAUUACAUCUAGCUUGUUUCACUCUAUUAUGUGAAUUGUGUUUUGUGAAAUUUCUUUUUCUGAAUGUUAUUUAUGUUGUGUGCUUUGGC